This 541-nucleotide ribosomal RNA is filed under the name uncultured bacterium. RNAcentral describes it as "bacterial SSU rRNA". It matches the Rfam family "Bacterial small subunit ribosomal RNA", at positions 355 to 896 of the family's 1533-position model. The record is from RNAcentral.
UGAGGAAUAUUGGUCAAUGGGCGAGAGCCUGAACCAGCCAAGUCGCGUGAAGGAUGACUGUCUUAUGGAUUGUAAACUUCUUUUAUACGGGAAUAACAAGAGUCACGUGUGACUCCCUGCAUGUACCGUAUGAAUAAGCAUCGGCUAACUCCGUGCCAGCAGCCGCGGUAAUACGGAGGAUGCGAGCGUUAUCCGGAUUUAUUGGGUUUAAAGGGUGCGUAGGCGGCCUGUUAAGUCAGCGGUGAAAUCUAGGAGCUUAACUCCUAAAUUGCCAUUGAUACUGGCGGGCUUGAGUGUAGAUGAGGUAGGCGGAAUGCGUGGUGUAGCGGUGGGAUGCAUAGAUAUCACGCAGAACUCCGAUUGCGAAGGCAGCUUACUAAGGUACAACUGACGCUGAAGCACGAAAGCGUGGGUAUCAAACAGGAUUAGAUACCCUGGUAGUCCACGCAGUAAACGAUGAUAACUGGGCGUAUGCGAUAUACAGUAUGCUCCUAAGCGAAAGCGUUAAGUUAUCCACCUGGGGAGUACGCCGGCNACGGUG